This is a long non-coding RNA of Venturia canescens, 342 nucleotides long. RefSeq lists it as uncharacterized. NCBI's taxonomy places the organism in Eukaryota, Metazoa, Arthropoda, Insecta, Hymenoptera, Ichneumonidae. The record is from RefSeq and is a predicted model, not a curated record. The transcript is spliced from 3 exons.
GCCCUCGGUCGCCGUGACGAGUCACUACGAUAACACCCUCGAGAGUCACGUUGCCCUCGAUCUUACCUGAAUUCAAAAUAACGCUCGAAUCUUCUCCGCUGAGCAUUCAGACACUUUCUCGAGGGUACAAAUAAAAAUAUCUAUUUGCACAACCGAUGGGCACGUACCUUCGGAGCCGACGGGAAUGUCCUCCGGCGAGUGGCAGAAUUUGAAUACCCUUUGAUUCCGAACGUCACGCUUCAUUUGUCGUGGAAAUUCUCGUAUCGGCCCUGCGAUCCUUUUCAGCGAUUCCUCAGCGUGUUAUCCAACAGGCAAAACUAUCAAAAACGAGAGAAAUUUUUU